This 1070-nucleotide long non-coding RNA is filed under the name Anser brachyrhynchus (Pink-footed goose). RNAcentral's name for it is "lncRNA (ENSABRG00000002093.1)". The record is from RNAcentral. Lineage: Eukaryota; Metazoa; Chordata; Aves; Anseriformes; Anatidae.
AUGCUUGUCCCUUGGGGUCUAAGGGGGAUGCUUGUCCCUUGGGGUCAGGGAGUCGGGUGGGUGCCAAGGCUUGAAUUCCCUCGGGUGCCCUCAAUCCAGCCCUGUUUCAUGAGUUCUUCAGGGCAGAUUGCUGGUGGGGCGAGAGGUUUGCUCUCUGCCACCCCCUCCAAGCGAUGCUGCAGCUCGGGGCAAUGGCAGCUUUGUGCUGAGCGUGGCAGGAUUGGGCCCCCCCACCCCUUCUCCCCGUUGCUCCGGGAGCCCCCUGGUGCUGGUUCCGGCUCUGACCCAACAAUCCGGGGGUGCCGGCGGUGCCAGGGGCUGCCCCGGGGCAGGGUGCCCAGGAUGAUCGUGUCCCUGUGGCUGGCGUACAUCGCGGCACGGAAAGGCACCGGCGUGUACAUCCCCACCGACAGCGCACCGGAUGGCCCCGUGGUGGAGGUGGACGCGUUGGCCACGGGUGAAGAGCUGCUCUCCAGGCUGUUCCAGAGGGUGCUGGAAAUCUGGGCAGAGCCCCGGGCAGAGCCCCAGGGGGAGCCCCGGGCGGAGCCCCAGGCAGAGCCUGCAGCGGCUCCCCCAGCCUCCCAGCAAGCCGGUGGUCCAAGCCCCCAGGGUGAUGCUGACCGUGGGGUGCAGGCACCCGGGCAGGUCCUUGUGGAGGACAGGAUGAAGGUCCAGUACUUGAGGUGGAGCCAGACCCGUGUCCAUCACGUCUUGAGCCUGCUGGAGGGUGAUCUGGUGGAGGACAGGAAGGAGCAAACUGAAAACGGCGUGUCCCAGGUGCUGCUCCAAGGCAUGCCGGACACCGUGAUGGAGGCCGUGAUGGAGGCCGUGACGGACACCGGGAUGGACUCCGUGAUGGACCCCAUGAUGGACCCCGUGAUGGACUCCACGCUGGACACCAAGAGCCAGGUCCAGCUUCCCAGCGAGGACUAGGAGGUCGCCGCUCUCCCCGCUCCCCUUCCCUGGCUGCAUUUGGACCUUUUUGUCACCUCCGCGGUGCUGGCUUGCCCAGAUGUGGCUCCCCCACCAAAAAAAAUAAAAGGCUGCGUGCACCGGCUGGGCUGCGCCUG